CGGCACGGGUGAGUAACACGUAGGUAAUGUACCUUUGGGUGGGGAAUAACUUAGGGAAACUUAAGCUAAUACCGCAUAAUGCAGCGGCUUCUUCGGAAGACAGUGUUAAAGAUUUAUCGCCUAAAGAGCAGCCUGCGGCAGAUUAGCUAGUUGGUAAGGUAACGGCUUACCAAGGCUACGAUCUGUAUCCGACCUGAGAGGGUGGUCGGACACACUGACACUGAAUAACGGGUCAG
Molecule: ribosomal RNA, 236 nt
Filed under: uncultured bacterium
Lineage: Bacteria
Description: partial 16S ribosomal RNA
Rfam family: Bacterial small subunit ribosomal RNA
Source: RNAcentral